GUUACGAUGCAUGCGAAGGGGACUGGCGUGACGGACCUUGGGCCCUACGAGAAUGAGUAUGUAUUCAUACUGAAAACAACGGGAGAUGGGAAACUGGUGAAGGAAUCUUGGGAGUACAUUGAUUCGUAUCUCACUGUACAGGUUAUGGAAGCUGGGAACCAGACUCCGCUUUGAUGUGGUGACUUAAUGGUGGCAAGUGAAAGUCAAUCCAGGGAUGUCGAUGUACUUUUCACAAGA
RNAcentral lists this unclassified non-coding RNA (237 nucleotides) under plant metagenome. RNAcentral's name for it is "partial contains 5.8S ribosomal RNA, internal transcribed spacer 2, and large subunit ribosomal RNA". The record is from RNAcentral.